AGUGAACGCUGGCGGUAGGCCUAACACAUGCAAGUCGAACGGCAGCACAGUAAGAGCUUGCUCUUACGGGUGGCGAGUGGCGGACGGGUGAGGAAUACAUCGGAAUCUACUUUUUCGUGGGGGAUAACGUAGGGAAACUUACGCUAAUACCGCAUACGACCUACGGGUGAAAGCAGGGGAUCUUCGGACCUUGCGCGAUUGAAUGAGCCGAUGUCGGAUUAGCUAGUUGGCGGGGUAAAGGCCCACCAAGGCGACGAUCCGUAGCUGGUCUGAGAGGAUGAACAGCCACACUGGAACUGAGACACGGUCCAGACUCCUACGGGAGGCAGCAGUGGGGAAUAUUGGACAAUGGGCGCAAGCCUGAUCCAGCCAUACCGCGUGGGUGAAGAAGGCCUUCGGGUUGUAAAGCCCUUUUGUUGGGAAAGAAAAGCAGCAGGUUAAUACCCCGCUGUUCUGACAGUACCCAAAGAAUAAGCACCGGCUAACUUCGUG
Molecule: ribosomal RNA, 492 nt
Filed under: uncultured bacterium
Lineage: Bacteria
Description: partial 16S ribosomal RNA
Rfam family: Bacterial small subunit ribosomal RNA
Source: RNAcentral